CGUUUGCCGUGAAAACCUGCGGCUUAACCGUGGGCGUGCGGUGGAUACGGGCACACUUGAGUUCGGUAGGGGAGACUGGAAUUCCUGGUGUAGCGGUGGAAUGCGCAGAUAUCAGGAGGAACACCAGUGGCGAAGGCGGGUCUCUGGGCCGAAACUGACGCUGAGGAGCGAAAGCGUGGGGAGCGAACUAGGAUUAGAUUUCUCUGGUAG
Molecule: ribosomal RNA, 210 nt
Filed under: uncultured actinomycete
Lineage: Bacteria; Bacillati; Actinomycetota; Actinomycetes; Actinomycetales
Description: partial 16S ribosomal RNA
Rfam family: Bacterial small subunit ribosomal RNA
Source: RNAcentral